Molecule: unclassified non-coding RNA, 384 nt
Filed under: Hevea brasiliensis (rubber tree)
Lineage: Eukaryota; Viridiplantae; Streptophyta; Magnoliopsida; Malpighiales; Euphorbiaceae
Source: RNAcentral
GAGUGGAAAUCUGAUAUUUUGUUCAGGGGAAACAGAGUUGUAUUCUUUAGAACAACUAAUGAGAGCAUCAGCAGAGUUGCUUGGAAGAGGCACAAUUGGAACAACGUAUAAAGCUCUGAUGGCUAGUCAGUUAAUCGUUUCAGUAAAGCGAUUGGAUGCUGGUAAAACUUCGAUUACAAGUGCAGAAGCGUUUGAGCAACACAUGGAGUCAGUUGGGAUGUUGCGGCAUCCAAAUUUGGUUGCAGUUAGAGCAUACUUUCAGGCUAAACAAGAAAGGCUUGUUAUCUAUGAUUAUCAGCCUAAUGGUAGUCUCUUCAAUCUAAUUCAUGGUUCAAGAUCAACAAGGGCAAGGCCUCUUCACUGGACAUCAUGUCUAAAAAUAGC